Molecule: long non-coding RNA, 1694 nt
Organism: Sciurus carolinensis (gray squirrel)
Lineage: Eukaryota; Metazoa; Chordata; Mammalia; Rodentia; Sciuridae
Exons: 5
Source: RefSeq, a predicted model, not a curated record
CGCGCCCGCUGUGGGGACCAAGGACGGGGAGAGCGGUCACCAGCGUCACGGAACACUCGCUGCACGAAGAGGCAAGAGUCGUUGGCGCCGCCGCAGCGGCCGCAGCGGUCCUCGAGGGCUCCCGAGCCCAGCACCCCGUCGCAGCCGGCGCUCUGCGGGCAGGGUGAAAUGCACUCUCCGAGCACACCCAUAAACACACAGCCCUGCCGGGCAUGGUGGCCUAUAAUCCCAGCGGCUCCGGAGGCUGAGACCAGAGGAUUCUGAGUUCAAAGCCAGCCUCAGCAACUUAGCAACGAAGCAACUCAGCUCUUCUUAUCUGUGGACCACCACCAUGAAGUCUGAAGCUGCCUGUCUCCCUUGAAUCCGGAGGCGUGCUGCCCGGGGCACACAGUUAUAUAACUCCCUAUUUUCAGCUCGAUGCAGCAACAUUUUCCUGUUACAGGGAUAAGUUUGAGUACUGCUGGCCUCUGCAUACAGCACUAAAUGUCACGGCUGUGUCCAUCACAUGCUGAAACCUUCCUGAGGACCCCUGUUUCAGGAGGGGGGCUUCCAGUGGGCAUGGCUGCCCCAGUAUGUAUCACAUGACCCUGCUCAGCCAGUCAGAGAAUGGAAAAGGAGACUGUGAUCUCUCUGGGCCAACGAGAGCCUGCUCUGGGACGUCAGCUGAACCACUUGAGGAAAAGCUGCUCCCUGUGGCUGGGGUUGCCUGGCUUGGAGGGAGAACUGGGAUUGCUGGUGACUUCUUUGUCACCCCCGUUCUGUCUGGACCCUGCUCAAGGAGGGGUCCAGGGAGGUCCAGCAGCGAGGACAGGGAGUGGAAAGGGCUGGGGUUUGAGAAGCUCAAGUUCCUGGAUUGACCCUCACCUGAAGCCAUUAACCUGUUGUGUUUUCCACUUUAGCAACUUUGAGUUUCUGCUACUUCUAAUCCAAAGGUUCCUGUCUAAUGGGAACGGCAUCGCUCACAGCUCCUCCGCUCCUGGGACAGUUCCUGCUUCUCAGGUUUUAGAUGAGCAGCCUGUCGCGAGCGGCGGAGAGGCGAGUGACUAGAAUUUGGUUCCAAACAAGUUGGCUUUAUUUGAUACACUCAGGAUAACACAAUCCGUAUCUUAACCUUAAUAUUCCUAAUAUCACGCCUCAAUCAAAUCGUAUGGCAAAUAAACACACCUCAAUUAAAUAGUCCAAAGUCCUCUCUGUCUUGUCGGUUCCGCGACCUUGAAUGCGACGUACCUUAGUUGGAGAGAAGACGACGGCUGGUCUCGGAACCCCCUCUGGCCGAUGGUCCGAGGAUCGAGGACAGGCAGGCUCCGCUGGUCGUAAAGCAGUCAGAGCAGCGGAGUCUCGGCAGUCUCCACGGGUGAUCGGUGGGGCUCGCGGACCUGGCGGACAUGGAUUCCUCAGGAGGUCUGGGCUGAGCCGAGCAGCCGUCUGAGGGAGCCUGAAGUCACACACCUCCCAGGGCAGAAGGGACUCAGGCGUGACCGGGGGAGGGCCUGAGCUGGGGUCACCCAGGGUCCUCAUGAGAGGAGGCGUGAGUGUCAGAGGCAGAGAGCCUGGAAGACACACACUGCUGGCUGUGGAGCUGGAGGAGGGGACGCGGACUGUCCCUGGGACCUUGGGAGCUGGUCCCAAGGGGGACACAGAUUCUCCCUGGGACCUCGAAGGGCGAGCCUGUCACACCUAGGUUUAGAACUUCU